Molecule: RNase P RNA, 358 nt
Filed under: Bacillota bacterium
Lineage: Bacteria; Bacillati; Bacillota
Description: RNase P RNA component class A
Rfam family: Bacterial RNase P class A
About the family: Ribonuclease P (RNase P) is a ubiquitous endoribonuclease, found in archaea, bacteria and eukarya as well as chloroplasts and mitochondria.
Source: RNAcentral
CGACCAGGCCGGACAGCCGCGGAGGGAUGCCGAAAGGCGCUGCUCUGAGGAAAGUCCGGGCUCCACAGGGUAAGGAUAACGGGUAACGCCCGCCGGGGGUGACCCCAGGACAAGUGCAACAGAGAGAUACCGCCGCCGCCCGGUCCCGGGCAGCGGUAAGGGUGAAAAGGUGCGGUAAGAGCGCACCCAGCCCAUGGAGACAUGGGUUUUAUGAUGUAAACUCUAUCCGGAGCAACACCGUGUGUGGGACAAUCGGCUGACCCGGCCGUCCCCAAGAGGUGGCUGGACCCCGUGAGCAAUUGCGGGGCUAGAUAGAUGGCUGUCAAGACAGAACCCGGCUUAUAGGCCUGAUCGCACC